This 415-nucleotide ribosomal RNA is filed under the name uncultured soil bacterium. RNAcentral describes it as "bacterial SSU rRNA". It matches the Rfam family "Bacterial small subunit ribosomal RNA", at positions 26 to 451 of the family's 1533-position model. The record is from RNAcentral.
AGAUUGAACGCUGGCGGCAUGCCUUACACAUGCAAGUCGAACGGUAACGCGGGGCAACCUGGCGACGAGUGGCGAACGGGUGAGUAAUGCAUCGGAACGUGCCCAGUAGUGGGGGAUAGCUCGGCGAAAGCCGGAUUAAUACCGCAUACGACCUAAGGGUGAAAGCGGGGGACCGUAAGGCCUCGCGCUAUUGGAGCGGCCGAUGUCAGAUUAGGUUGUUGGUGGGGUAAAAGCCUACCAAGCCGUUUACGAUCUGUAGCUGGUCUGAGAGGACGACCAGCCACACUGGGACUGAGACACGGCCCAGACUCCUACGGGAGGCAGCAGUGGGGAAUUUGGACAAGUGGGGCAACCUGAUCAGCCAUGCCGCGUGCGGAAGAGGCCUUGGUGUAACCGCUUUGUCGAGGUAAGAACG